AGAAAGGGACGGCUAACUACGUGCCAGCAGCCGCGGUAAUACGUAGGUCCCGAGCGUUAUCCGGAAUUAUUGGGCGUAAAGGGCACGUAGGCGGACAAAUAAGUUUGAUGUCAAAUAUGAUGGCUCAACCAUCAAGAGGCGUUGAAAACUGUUUAUCUAGAAUCUCGGAGAGGUAAGUGGAAUUCCAUGUGUUAAGGUCGGUGGAAUGCGUAGAUAUAUGGAGGAACACCAAUGGCGAAGGCAGCUUACUGGACGAAGAUUGACGCUGAGGUGCGAAAGCGUGGGUAGCAAACAGGAUUAGAUACCCUGGUAG
RNAcentral lists this ribosomal RNA (313 nucleotides) under uncultured bacterium. Its description in RNAcentral is "bacterial SSU rRNA". It matches the Rfam family "Bacterial small subunit ribosomal RNA", at positions 485 to 793 of the family's 1533-position model. The record is from RNAcentral.